Ooceraea biroi (clonal raider ant) is the source of this 507-nucleotide long non-coding RNA. RefSeq lists it as uncharacterized. The record is from RefSeq and is a predicted model, not a curated record. NCBI's taxonomy places the organism in Eukaryota, Metazoa, Arthropoda, Insecta, Hymenoptera, Formicidae.
GUUAUUCUCGUCGUUGGUCUAAGAUAGAUAGGACACACGAAUAACAGGCUGUGUAAAGAUUACUAUCAUAUAGAAAAUAAUUAAUAUCAUAGAAAAAAGAGUUGCUAAUUAAAAAGUGUUUAUUUUAUACCGAUAAUAUCAGGCACAAAAGAUAUUGUUUAUAUAGCAAGAAAUAGUCAACUGUGAAACGGAUAAAGUAAAGUAAUAACUUUUACAUCUGGUUGAAGUGACUGAACAUUAUCGGAGCAUAUAAUAUAUCGGAAUAUAUUAUUCCAUAAAGUUUUGAAAUUUGUGUGUUUAAUUGUAAGAUUGAGAUAAUCAAGUAUAAAAAAUGAGCGAUAUAAUGACAGAGGAUGAAUUUUUGACAACAAAGGAGAAGGAAACCCAAACUUAUGAAAAGCCACCGUCAAAACUGCAAGUAAUGCAAUCUGUACAACCUUAUCAGUAUAGUAUAAAUUAUUGCCAAACGUUUUAUUCGUGAAGCAAGUUUACAUAUACCUGGGAAAU